GAGCCUCGGACCCCGCCCUCCACCUUCCCCGGGCUUCCGUGCUGUGCUGGCCAGGUGCUGGCGUUGGAUUGAGAUUCAUGGACUAUCUGCCAUGCCCCGAACACCAGGCAGAGUGCUAAGGGGACACGAAGAUGAAUAAGAUGUGACCGCUGCUCUCCAGGAUCCUGUCACAUAGAUGAAGAGAUAGAACAUAUCCAUAAGAAGAUAACUAAUGACCGACAUGGCCUGCUGCCGACACGUGUUAUGGUCCUGCGGGCUACAGAAAUUCAGAGGAGGAAGACAGAUGACUGCAGUGUGGCAGCUGCUCCUCGGGCACUUCCAGGAGCUUGUUAGGGUGAGGACAGAAGACUUCAUAACACAGAGGGAACCUGUGACACCGGCUUUAUAUCACACGAUAGAAAAUACCCAGAAGGAGUUCCAGAUGAAAUCUCUGAGGAUGUGACUCCACUUGGAUAACACCUCCCUGAGCUGCAAGGCAAGGAUUACUCUGUUUUAUAGAUCUGGUCACUGACAGCCAGAGACCAGAACUCUCCUGAGGUCACACAGCAUUGUCCGAGGUCUUAGGUCUUGUGAUGUCUGACCUGAUAUGCUCCUCCAUGAGAUCCUGCUGUCUCCAUGAGCAAGCUUGGCAGGAUGGCCAGCCAAGCCCUACUCACAGGCACCUGCAAGCCAGUAAGGAGGGUUGCCAGGAGAAUAGGGCAUCCUGGUGAGGUACCGGGAGUGCCUCUAAGACAGAGACAAGUCCAUUGGGGCAAAUGAGCUUCUCCGUCUCCAAGGUGAUGUGCCAAGUAACUCAUGGUUUCUCUCAUCUCCUUGAUGCUGAUCUAAAGGCGUUAGUUGACCAGCAGAAAUGAUUAGGUUGUCUAGAUCAUUCAUAUAGAUAAUUGACAUCAACACACCAGAAAACAGUUACCUAUCACUUACUUGCCACCAAGUCCUGCCAAAUGCAAGCUCAUCUCUUUGAUUCCAAUGUUUUCCCCAUUUCUGAGAAAACCACACUCCUCCAGUUUUUCUUUUCCCACUGACCUAUCAGUUAAAUCAGCAAAUACUUACUGUGUGCCUACUCCCACGCAAAACAUUGGACUAGUUGAUUGGGAACACAGAAGGAAUCAUUCAAUAUUUGUGAAUUCAAUAGUGGUUCAUUGAGCCAGGCACAACAUGCCAGACACUUUUCAGGGGCUGGCGAACACAACUAUGAGGAAAACAGCAGAAUCUAUUGUCCUCGUGGUGUCCACAGUCUGGUGGAGGGAUAAGAUGUAGCAGAGGAUUGUAAUUGCUUUUUGGCCACCCAGUUUCCCUUAAUAAAAGCUCCUGAUGUCUUUUGGAGAAUGACCUCUCAUCUUGGCCUUUUUGGACGGACUGCAGUUUCAGGGGCCUUGUGUAUUCCUAAUCAAUACUAACAUCAAGAUUAGUAGAACACUUGCCCUCUAUAGUCAGUAUCACAGGUUUGCUCAUUGAGUGCUCACCAAUACCUAUGGGUAGGUAUCCUCAUGUUCAGAGAGGGAAACUGGGGCAUACUGAGAAUGACUUGGUCACGUGGCUGGUAAAUGGCAGAGCCAGGAUUCAAACCCAGCCUGGCUAGUUCCAGAUACUGCUCUUAACCACCAAUCUACAAUGCUUUGUGAUGUCAGGGAGCUUGUGUUGCCUGAGUGUGGGGACGAUCCAACUGGAUCAUUUGGUCCAAUUGUACUUUUUCUCCCGGAAAUAAGGACCAUGAAAAUAGUGAUGCAAAAAUGGACAGCAUUGUUGCAGUAGCUGUCUUCCGUUGCUAAUGUUCUGAUGUGAUUGUCGUAUACCUCCCACUUGCCUGUAAUCCUGGAGCUUCCCUGGUUGUUUCCCCUUGCAAUCUGAUUCUUGAGUGUUCAUUAUAUUCUGCAGGCCACCGCACAUGCUUCCAAUAAACUCCCUUUGGACUUAAAUUGGAGUCAGUUUCAGUGGCAUGCCACCAGGAGUGCUAACAGAUACAGAAAUUAACACAAUUACCUCCUACACAUGGCAUGGAUGAAAGCACUUGGGGCUUCAUCACUGUGCUAAUGUUUGGGAAAGGCAAAGGAGGUUUGAGUUUGAGGGAACGUAUUUGUGCAAAGGGAGAGAGAGCUCCAGGGAUGUAGGGAGAUAGGAUGCAAGUCAGAUAUGUUGGCAGCCCUAGGGUGCAUAUUUUCAUCUCAAUCACUGGGGAAAGAAUUGGGUUGGGCUUCUCUCCAGCACUUUCUCCUCUUCCCUUGGAUGUGAAGAUUGAAUGCUUGCAGGGAGCAGACCGCCAGUGGUGUAUCGCACAGGGUUCAGACAGACAUCAAAGUUAAUCCGCUCUCUGAUCUAAGCAAAAUGAUGAUGAGGGUUUCCUGGGACAGCAGCUUUACUAAUUGUGGCACUGCAGCCUAGCGAAUGUAUUUUUAGAAUGUUGUGGAUUCCCAAGAAAUAAUGUUCCUGGCUGUAGAAAAACAGACUUGAAGCUUGGGGCUUGGAACAAAGUGGAAUCUCAUGCAGAACCUCUGGGCUGGUGUUGCUGAGAAUAAGAAAGUGGGGAAAAUGCUUCUCUGUUUUUAUGGGGUUCUGUGACUUGCUGAGUCUCUGCCCAUCUAUAUAAGUAUAUAUAGGUUUUUCUUCUUUGUUUGACUCUUUACAUGUAAGAGAUUUCCCCAAAUGUCCAUCUCAGCUAAUCUGUUGCUAUGCUCUGCACCCCAUAAUUUUAAAUCAUGCCUUUAUGACUUCCAGACUAUUUGCUCUGCUGAACUCCAGCAUCACUUGCCUGGUGGACAGCUUCAGGUUCAAGGCCCACUUGCUCCUACUCUUCCUCACUGUCAUGGACCUUGGCUUGACUUGAGUCCUCAUCAGCUCUCCCUUCCUAUGGCUUCCUAACUGGUCUUGUGUGUCCUCUUCCAUCAGUAAACUGUCUUAUUCACAGGGUGAUAUGGUUUGGCUGUGUCCCCACCCAAAUCUCAUCUUGAAUUGUA
Cercocebus atys (sooty mangabey) is the source of this 2954-nucleotide long non-coding RNA. RefSeq lists it as uncharacterized. NCBI's taxonomy places the organism in Eukaryota, Metazoa, Chordata, Mammalia, Primates, Cercopithecidae. The transcript has 3 exons. The record is from RefSeq and is a predicted model, not a curated record.